ACCUCUCUGUGACCCUAAACCUGCCCUGUGACCCCAAACCGCUGUGUGACCCCAAACCCGCUGUGUGACCCCAAACCGCUGUGUGACCCCAAACCUCUGUGUGACCCCAAACCCGCCCUGUGACCCCAAACCCGCCCUGUGACCCCAAACCUGCUGUGGGGCAGCCCCAAAUCUGCUGUGUGACCCCAAACCCACUGUGUGACCCCAAACCUCUGUGUGACCCCAAACCGCUGUGGGGCAGCCCCAAAUCUGCUGUGUGACCCUAAACCCUCCCUGUGACCCCAAACCUCUGUGUGACCCCAAACCCGCUGUGUGACCCUAAACCGCUGUGGGGCAGCCCCAAACCCACUGUGGGGCAGCCCCAAACCACUCUGUGACCCCAAACCGCUGUGGGGCAGCCCCAAACCCACUGUGGGGCAGCCCCAAACCACUCUGUGACCCCAAACCGCUGUGGGGCAGCCCCAAACCUCGCUAUGGGGCAGCCCCCCACCCACUCCAGCUAUGCACCCCCUCUAUGGGGCAGCCCCCAUCCCAUCUAUGCACCUCCUAUGGGGCAGCCCCCUAACUCUGCUAUGGGGCAGCCCCCGACCCUGCUAUGGGGCAGCCCCCCUUUAGAUACGCACAGUCCAUAGGGCAACCCCCAAGCUCUCUAUGGGGCAGCCCCCCACCCACUCCAUCUAUGCAUAAUCUGUGGGGCAGCCCCCCAUUGCUAGAUACACACAGCCUAUAGGGCAGCCCCCAACCCCUCUAUGGGGCAGCCCCCUCCCAGAUACGCACAAUCCAUAGGGCAGCCCCUCGCCCAGUCCAGCUCUGGGGCAGCCCCCAGCUCCAGCUAUGCACCCCCAGGGGGACAGCCCCCACCCCUCUGUGGGGCAGCCCCAGAUCCCAGCUAUGCACCUCCUAUGGGGCAGCCCCUUAACCCUGCUAUGGGGCAGCCCCCGACCCUCCUAUGGGGCAGCCCCCUAACUCUAGACAUGCACAGACCUUAGGGCAGCUCCUGACCCUGCUAUGGGGCAGCCCCCACCCCUCCUAUGGGGCAGCCCCCACCCCUGCUAUGGGGCAGCCCCCACCCCUGCUAUGGGGAAGCCCCACCCCUUCUAUGGGGCAGCCCCCCCAGAUGCGCACAGCCCGUGGGGCAGCCCCCCCCCAGCUCAGCCCCUCCAUGGGGGGCCCGGCUCCCCCCUUUGGGGGUCUCCCCCCAGUUCCCCCCCAGCCUCCAAUAAAGCUUCCUGCGCCCCCCAACUCCUGUCUGGUGUCUUGGGAAGGACUGGGAGCCCCAGGGACCCCC
Molecule: long non-coding RNA, 1288 nt
Filed under: Chloebia gouldiae (Gouldian finch)
Lineage: Eukaryota; Metazoa; Chordata; Aves; Passeriformes; Passeridae
Description: Erythrura gouldiae (Gouldian finch) lncRNA (ENSEGOG00005018515.1)
Source: RNAcentral